GUGGUAGAGGCAGUGGUAGUGGUAGAGAUAUAUAUAGUGGUAGAAGUAGAGGUAGUGGUAGAGAUAGUGGUAGUGGUAGAGAUAGUGGUACUAGUAGAGGUAGAGGUAGUGUUAGAAGUAUUGGUAGAGAUAGUGGUAGUGGUAGAGAUAGAGGUAGUGGUAGAGAUAGUGGUAGCGGUACUGGUAGAGGUAGAGGUACUGGUAGAGGUACUGGUAGCGAUAGAGGUAGUGGUAGAGGUAGAGGUAGAGGUAGAGGUGGUGGUAGUGGUAGUGGUAGAGAUAGAGGUAGAGUAAGUGAUAGAGGUAGUGGUAGAGGUAGAGGUGGUGGGAGAGGUAGAGGUGGUGGUAGUGGUAGUGGUAGAGUUAGAGAUAUAGAUAGGCGUAGAGGUAGAGAUAGUGGUAGAGACAGUGGUAGAGGUAGUGGUAGAGAUAGAGAUAGUUGUAGUGGUAGAGGUAGAUGUAGUGGUAGUUGUAGAGGUAGUGGUAGAG
Molecule: long non-coding RNA, 489 nt
Organism: Oncorhynchus tshawytscha (Chinook salmon)
Lineage: Eukaryota; Metazoa; Chordata; Actinopteri; Salmoniformes; Salmonidae
Source: Ensembl